CCAACACACCCAGGGUCAGAGGGACAAGGCAGAGCCGCCCCCCACACACACACACAGGGUCAGAGCAGGCCGUGCACCUGCACAGGGCAAACCUAGAGCGCCUGGCCAGGCUCCGCUGUGACAGCCCCGCACGCUGACGCAGAGGCACUGCCAGGCUGGUGCCGUGACUGGAGCCGUGGAGCACGGAAGUGGCUCUGGGAGCGGGCAGCAGGCGGAGUCUGCAGAAGCGCCAGGCCCGGUCACCUGCUCAGACUGUUGACAAAGACAGGUGAGAGGUGCCGCCGCGGAGGCCUCGGGAGGAAAGGAACACGGGAACUGGGGGCCGGCGGACCCCGCGGGAAAGCGGCGCCAUCGGGGCUGAGCUGUGUUCCGCCACCAGAGUGCCCAUGCUGGGGCUACGCCAGGCCAGAGGCUGUAACUGGAGGUACACAAUUCGCUUGCCAGUUUCAAAAGUACACAGCUCCCUGCUGUGGCCCGGGAGAGCAGUAGAAGACGCCCAAGUCCUGGAGCCCCUGCACCUGCAUGGGAGACCCAGAAGAAGCUCCUGGCUUCAGAUCGGCACAGCUCCAGCUGUUGUGGCCAUUCGGGGAAUGAACCAGCGGAUGGAAGAUCUUUCUCCCUCCCUUCCCCUCCCCUCCCCUCCCCUCCCC
Oryctolagus cuniculus (rabbit) is the source of this 650-nucleotide long non-coding RNA. RefSeq lists it as uncharacterized. Lineage: Eukaryota; Metazoa; Chordata; Mammalia; Lagomorpha; Leporidae. The record is from RefSeq and is a predicted model, not a curated record.